GAUGAACGCUAGCGGCAGGCUUAAUACAUGCAAGUCGAGGGGCAGCGGGGGUAGCAAUACCUGCCGGCGACCGGCAAACGGGUGCGGAACACGUACACAACCUUCCUUUCGGUAGGAGAUAGCCCAGAGAAAUUUGGAUUAAUACCCCAUAGGAUACCUUGGGAGCAUUUCUGAGGUAUUAAAGAUUUAUUGCCGGAAGAUGGGUGUGCGUCUGAUUAGGUAGUUGGUAGGGGUAACGGCCCACCAAGCCAGCGAUCAGUAACUGGUGUGAGAGCACGACCAGUCACACGGGCACUGAGACACGGGCCCGACUCCUACGGGAGGCAGCAGUAAGGAAUAUUGGUCAAUGGACGCAAGUCUGAACCAGCCAUGCCGCGUGGAGGAUGAAGGUCCUCUGGAUUGUAAACUUCUUUUAUCUGGGAAGAAAUGCAUUUAUUCUUAAGUGUUUGACGGUACCAGAUGAAUAAGCACCGGCUAACUCCGUGCCAGCAGCCGCGGUAAUACGGAGGGUGCAAGCGUUAUCCGGAUUCACUGGGUUUAAAGGGUGCGUAGGUGGGCAGUUAAGUCAGUGGUGAAAUCUCCGGGCUUAACCCGGAAACUGCCAUUGAUACUAUCUGUCUUGAAUGUCGUGGAGGUAAGCGGAAUAUGUCAUGUAGCGGUGAAAUGCUUAGAUAUGACAUAGAACACCAAUUGCGAAGGCAGCUUGCUACACGAAUAUUGACACUGAGGCACGAAAGCGUGGGGAUCAAACAGGAUUAGAUACCCUGGUAGUCCACGCCCUAAACGAUGGAUACUCGACAUACGCGAUACACAGUGUGUGUCUGAGCGAAAGCAUUAAGUAUCCCA
This 846-nucleotide ribosomal RNA is filed under the name uncultured bacterium. Its description in RNAcentral is "bacterial SSU rRNA". It matches the Rfam family "Bacterial small subunit ribosomal RNA", at positions 28 to 871 of the family's 1533-position model. The record is from RNAcentral.